CGAGUUUUGCUGUCCGCCAUUACUUCGUUCAGAAAGUGCAGCUUUUCUGUUGUAGAUGGCGACUCUUAAAGGUUCACGCUUCUUUGCUGAAAAUGUCACAAUUGUAGCCAUAUUGCUGAAUUUGGUUUCUCAGAAGAAUGAAGCUGAAACAGAGCUUGAGAGGUGUACAAUGGCAGUGUUUGUCAUCAGGGAGGAUGAGAAUCCUCUCCAACCACCACAUGAAAUUGGGUUUGUAAUUGAAGGUGUGGAAGUCCUUAAUGAGUGAGUUACCGUCAGUCGCACAUGCAUGUGCCAUGUUGUUUGGCCUCAUCUAUGCUGUAAACUUGAGCUAGCCAGGUGAGCUCAAAUACUCUUUCGAUGCACUGCAGAAAAUAUUCAUGGAGAUAGAACCAAAGAAAAUGACACGCAGAGUGUGCAGUCUUCGUGCCAAGCUUUAAAUCUUUGAUAUAUCUUUGAUAUGUUUUGUUCUGUUGUAUUGCAUGUAUUCAAAUACCUUCCAGGAAACAUGGAACGUGUCAUUGUUAACAGAAUUCUUUCUGUGGUAGAAAUAUUGUGGCACUGAAAAUAACAUUGAAAAUGUGAAUAUGCUAUAUUCACAAUAACCAGCAUUUCAGUAAUACUAGCCUUUGUUCAUAGAUUGCACUCUCAGCAAUUGAACUGCUUUUCCAUGGUUCGUUUAA
Colossoma macropomum (tambaqui) is the source of this 680-nucleotide long non-coding RNA. RefSeq lists it as uncharacterized. The record is from RefSeq and is a predicted model, not a curated record. The transcript is spliced from 3 exons. NCBI's taxonomy places the organism in Eukaryota, Metazoa, Chordata, Actinopteri, Characiformes, Serrasalmidae.